Molecule: non-coding RNA, 4429 nt
Organism: Triticum urartu
Lineage: Eukaryota; Viridiplantae; Streptophyta; Magnoliopsida; Poales; Poaceae
Source: RefSeq, a predicted model, not a curated record
ACGCUCCUCUCGAUCCGCUCGACGCACUCCUCUCGAUCCACCCCUCCCGCUGGGGCCUUUCUCUCUUUCCCUCCUUCCCCGCUCCACCGCCACCGGCCCAUCUCCCGCCCCGUCGCCGCCGCCCCAUCUCCCACCCCGCCGCCGCCGCCCCAUAUCCCGCUCUGCCACCGCCCCUACUGCUCCACCGAACCGACCUCUUCUUCGAGCAUGAGCCGCUCCUCUCCCUGACACCCUCGUACUCACUAGGGUUUCGUGCGCCGCCGCCGCCGCCGGUCCUCUCCAACACUGCGACGGGCUUCACGGCCUACUUCGACCUCGGGCCUUAAUGCUUUCUCUGCUUCUGUGUCGACCUUCUAUUCAGCGAGGAGGACGUACAUCAGGCAGCGGGUGACGCGCGGUGGCUGCGCAAAUUCCUCUGCGGCGGAGAUCUCCAGGAUGGGUGCUUGUCUUCUCAGAAGAAGGAGAUGAUGAAGGAUGCAGAGAAGGAAGGCAACGUGGAAGGCAACGUGGUGUGUUCUUGAUGAUGAUCGAAGAAGAUCUGCUGGCUGCUGUUCAAGGGACGAUAGCCAAAGAAGAAGAAGAUGAUUGCUAUGUUCUGAGAAAUCAAGAUUCUGGAAGACCACGAAGAGGAAUAAGACAAGCAGGCACAUGUGUACCGUCACGAGCAGCAAAACGAAGAGUAAACCCAAGAAUAUCAAGGGGGGAUUAUGUUGGCUGCCGUGGAGGACGAGAUGCAAGGGUGCUCCGGCAGCGGCUGCAGCAGCGUGACAGAUCAAGCGAGCUAGGUUGUGCCAUCUCUGGUCCUCUCUCUUCAAAUGGUCGACACCGGGUGCUUACGAUCGACGUGACGGCGGCGGUGCAAGAGCAUGGCAUAGCUGGUCUGAGAGUGGCGAUGGACUCACUGCCCGCUGCUACUAUAUCAUCCAAAGUAGUGGCAGGGCGCAGCGGCACGAACGGCUCAGCCUCUGCCUUGUUCAUCCCAUUACAACGGAGGCGCUUUAAUUACUGACACAUAUGUUCUUAUUAUGCAACUGCAGGUGAUUUCUCAUCUUUCAACUCGGUCUAUUUUACUUGUCAUACAUGGAGAGAGUUUAUACAAUGUUAGAUGAAGAGUUGGCGGUGCCACGGUGCCAAGGUUUGCUUCUCAAAACUGAUAAGAUCACAUGAUGCUUUUAUAUGCUUAUUAUUAAAUCACAGGCAAAUAACCCACUUCAACCUGCGUGAUAAUUAUGUAGUGAACAGAGCUUUUGUGUGAAUAAACUACCCAACUUUGUCAAGUGACUUAAUGGAGCAAGUCUUUAAUUUGUAACUAGCUGUUGUUCAGAAUUGAACUAGCGCUUCAUACAGAACAAUUUUGAGAGCAACUCCCCACAAAAAAAUACAUCAACUAUAAUUGUUGGAAUCCUGAAGGUAGUUCCAUCGAAGUUUGUGAGUAUAUUUGCAAACCUCUGUCUACCUAUGAAUACUAUUAUCGAGAUAGUUUAAACCAUGUUGUUGGCCUGCUACAAUGCUCAAUGGUUUACCCUUGCUCAGAUCAAUUCUGGUGUGUUUGUAAUGGGAAUGUGGGAUGAUGUAUGAAGAGAUAAAGAAAGUUAUGCUCGCGGAAUAUGAGUAUGUAGUAACAGUUCUCUGUUAUGGUUCGCGACAAUUGUUCUGGUACAUCUCAUUGGUAGUUUAUAUGUAAUGCAAUGCCGUUUUAUAAUUAUCAUGCUAAAAAGUAAUGUUACAUUAGACAUUUCAACAUAAAUGAGUUGGACAACUGAGCCCACAAUAUAUAACUAUGUAUAUUGGGACACAACGUUUUGCCUCUGUGUCCAGAUGAGCCGGUCAUUCAUCAGUUGGAAUCCGCGCCAAAGAGUUUCAGUGGUGUUGAUGUUCGCCAGUAGUCCAGUACAUCGAGUAUAGAACAACCAUGUAUGCUGCAGGUGGUUACGGCGUACAGCGGAUCUGACAGAACUAUUUUGAAUCUCGGUGGCUCUGUAUCAGGGUCUUCCUGUACUGAUGGUUGAAAGAUUUCCAUGUGGUAUGUGAUAUGGUACAGAUUUUUCGUUUCCUCGUAACUGUGAUCAGAUAAUCAUGGAUGACGAAAGGCAAACAGAUUCCUUGCCUUCCAAUUUAUCAGUCUUCAGUUACGCUCACGUACCGAGUGAAUAGAUUGCAAUGUUCUGUACUUCUUAUUUCUAAUUGAUUUCAUUCUCUAAUGGUUGCAUUAACUUGCCAAACAUUUCAUCUGUCGGAUGCAUGGGAGGGGAUAUGCAUCCGUCUAUGGUGGCAGUGGAACAGUCCUCACUGUAAGUGAUCUUAGAUAGGGAUGAGGUUAGCAACGAGGGCGAAAGAUGAUGAGGCUCCAGAAUCUAGAGAGUUGUUGUGAAAGCUGAUCCACAAGCACCAGGGUUUGUUAUAAAAGGAAAACUCUCUCGACCCGGAUGGAAAUAAUAUUCCUGAAUUGCCUGAGAUGGUUAGUGAUAGUGAAAGUUAUGAUGACAGAUAAUUACUCCUCCAAGAAGAAGAAUCAGAAGAGGAGCGAUUCAGGCAUCGAUUGACCUGGACUCCGAUUUUGACCUGGUCGUCCGCUUUGUGCCAGCUGGCUAUUUGUGGGCCUUUUUCGUCAGUGGUAAGGUGACAUGGGCCGCGUUUGUCAGUGGCUGAGGAAAGGCGGUUCGAGCCUGACGUGGUCGUCGAUGAGGAGCUUUUGGAUGUCACCGGCGCCGGCAAUCCUCGAGGGCAAAGGCUGCGACAAGCGGCGGCGGCGGAGCUUGGGCAGCAACAAUCCGAGCAUGAUGAGGUCGAAGGCGUCGUAGUGGUGCAUUGGAGCUGGAGGAGGCGGCGGGCCAGUGCUGUUUGUGCUCAAGACGUACGAGAUGGUGGACAGCCCAUCGACGGAAGCAGCGGUCUGGUGGAGUGACGCGUUGGACACGACCUUCAUGGUUUGGUGCUCGCUGGAGUUUGCAUCUUCAAGCACAUAAAUUUCUCCAGUUUCAUCCAUGAGCUCCCCCCACCCCCUCUCUUACUGAAUCCCUACGCACCCCAAGCAAUCUCGGUCAAGUUUGUGCGGAUUUGGGGUUUAAGAUCUGUGCAUGUGCGGGGAAUUUAUUAGUAGGAGUUGGUCUGGGUUUUAUUUGUCAGAUUUACUGGAGAAUUUGGCAUUAGAUUUUGAUCUUGGGUGGGGGCGAGGGUCCUCAAAUGUCUACACUGUUGUGGUGAAAUGCUACUCCAUUUUUACUAAAAAUCAUUUAGGAUGCUGAUUUUCUUAGUUGGUCUUGAUUGCAGUUAAAUGCCAAAAAUCAGGACUCGGUAUGGUGCCAAAAUAUGUUCAUAAUUUUGUGCGCUGGGCUGGUGGGAUGCUAUGUGAAUCACUACAUUCUUACUCCUUUGGUUCGCCGGGGGUUCGGAUUGCAUUGACCACAUUCAGAUUUUUCCUAGAGAUUCAGGCUGGCAACCAAAGAUGUCCAGCCUUGAUGGCUUGUGAUAUAUUAUCAUGUUUAGGAUAGACGAAAAUGAGAUUGCAAAGGAACGAAGAGCUCAAGAUUUUGUUUUGUUCAUGAAGAUGCAUAAUCAAGAGGAACCACAAGGAUUCCUAAGAACAGAGGUGCAGCAACAUCACUUAACCUUUUCAUGUUACUCUAGAUGAUUUAUCAUCCUUGCUUGCCCCUCCCGACAAGGAUUCAUAUCAAGAGUUCAAUACUUGUUGGGGGUUCCUCGCAAUGCACGCACAGAGAGGCAUAACUUCUUUGCUUCCCCCACCAUCUCUGCAAUAAUAUGGCGUGCAUGUGCAAAAAGAAGGAUCUGAUGGUCUACUAAGGGCUUAUAGGAAUGAAGAGCGGCUUAUCUUCUUUACGUGUUUAUCUGGUAAAUAUUCAUCUGUCAGGCAAUACAAAUCGUAUGGUUACAAGUUCAACAACAACAUGGGGAGCGCUGGCGUGGUAGUCCGGCGGUAGAGGGAUGGCUGGGCAGCAGCCUACCGAGGAGUUGGAGGGAGGGCUUGAUUGGACCACAUCUGUCCACGAGGGCUCGUUGGUGGGCUAAUCAAGAAGGGGGGAGGGGCUGGGUGUAUCUGUGUUGCGCGGUUCCGGCUGGUGUGCUCCUCGGCGGCGUCCUGGACAGGUGGAUGUGUGGGCGGCUGCGUGUGUGUGUGUGCUUCGGCGGUGCGUGGUGAGGUAGCGGGGUGGCCAGCGCGGUGCCCUGGUGAGCAGGUGGUUAGAUCCGGACGGAUUUGGCCAUGGUGGCUCGACGUUGGACUUGCUGGUGCAUGUAUGGUUUAUAAUCUGUCCGGACGGAAGAUUGUAGUUUGUGUAUAGUUUAUAAUCUGAGGAAAUGUUUGCCGUCUGUGUUAACCUUCAGUCUUGUACUGCUGAAGAUUGUAGUUUGUGUUGUAUCAUAUGUGGACAUGUUCUUUACUUCAAUCUAGACUUACGUGCCUUUGUGUUAA